Non-coding RNA from Kogia breviceps (pygmy sperm whale), 73 nucleotides. Lineage: Eukaryota; Metazoa; Chordata; Mammalia; Artiodactyla; Physeteridae. The record is from the annotation of a RefSeq genome assembly.
UCCCUGGUGGUCCAGUGGUUAAGACUCCACAUUCUCAAUGUGGGGGGCACAGGUUCAAUCCCUGUUUGGGGAA